UUUAAAUGGAUGCCUGUGAUAUUCUGCCAUUGAAAUUUAAAAUCCAGCAAAGAAACCUUUAAUUCUUGUAAUCUAUAAAAUAUUUAAGCACAUAAAAUUAAGCAUAUUUCUACCAAAUAUUUAAUCAUAUUACUUAUAAUAUUUCAACUAUUUAAGAAUUUUUGGGAACAAAGAGAGGGGAGGAAUGAAAAUGGAAAAAAAGAAAAUGAGAGGGCUCUCUCUCUCCCUCUCUCUCUUUUUCAAUAAAAAAACUGAUUAUGAUGUUCAUUUGAUGUCUUAAAUUUUUCAUUGUUUCGAAAUAGUUGUGGCUGGAAAAGUGUAAUCUUCAAUACAAUUCCAGUUCGAGCAACUGGUUUAGAAAUUAUAAAAGGAAAAAUAUUUCAUUUGAGUUUGUGCCCUAAAAA
This 404-nucleotide unclassified non-coding RNA is filed under the name Hevea brasiliensis (rubber tree). Lineage: Eukaryota; Viridiplantae; Streptophyta; Magnoliopsida; Malpighiales; Euphorbiaceae. The record is from RNAcentral.